This 250-nucleotide ribosomal RNA is filed under the name uncultured bacterium. RNAcentral's name for it is "partial 16S ribosomal RNA". It matches the Rfam family "Bacterial small subunit ribosomal RNA", at positions 524 to 773 of the family's 1533-position model. The record is from RNAcentral.
UACGUAGGGUGCGAGCGUUAAUCGGAAUUACUGGGCGUAAAGCGUGCGCAGGCGGUUUUAUAAGCCAGAUGUGAAAGCCCCGGGCUCAACCUGGGAAUGGCAUUUGGGACUGUAAGGCUGGAGUAUGGCAGAGGAGACUAGAAUUCCUGGUGUAGCAGUGAAAUGCGUAGAUAUCAGGAGGAAUACCGAUGGCGAAGGCAGGUCUCUGGGCCAAUACUGACGCUCAUGCACGAAAGCGUGGGGAGCAAAC